RNAcentral lists this ribosomal RNA (468 nucleotides) under uncultured bacterium. RNAcentral describes it as "partial 16S ribosomal RNA". It matches the Rfam family "Bacterial small subunit ribosomal RNA", at positions 28 to 507 of the family's 1533-position model. The record is from RNAcentral.
GACGAACGCUGGCGGCGUGCUUAACACAUGCAAGUCGAACGGAAAGGCCCUGCUUUUGUGGGGUGCUCGAGUGGCGAACGGGUGAGUAACACGUGAGUAACCUGCCCUUGACUUUGGGAUAACUUCAGGAAACUGGGGCUAAUACCGGAUAGGAGCUCCUGCUGCAUGGUGGGGGUUGGAAAGUUUCGGCGGUUGGGGAUGGACUCGCGGCUUAUCAGCUUGUUGGUGGGGUAGUGGCUUACCAAGGCUUUGACGGGUAGCCGGCCUGAGAGGGUGACCGGCCGCAUUGGGACGUAGAUCGCGCCGAGCCCCCGACGGGAGGCCGCAGGGGGGAAUAGUGAACCAUGGGCUGCAGCCUGAUGCAGCAUCGCCGCGUGCGGGAUGACGGCGUUCGGGUUGUAAACAGCGUUCGCCUGUGACGAAGGGUGAGUGACGGUAAUGGGUAAAGAAGCACCGCCUAACUACGUG